GAAGAAAGACCUCAACCAAAGGAUGGCGAAGUCAUUGUAUUUACUGAUCACAUGAACCGGGGCUUCUCACCACCCGACUCGAAGUUUUUCCGAGAUGUUCUGCACUUCUUCCAACUCCAUCCUCAAGACAUCGGACCCAACUCCGUGUCAAAUAUCUGCAACUUUCAAGUCUUCUAUGAAGUAUACCUUCAAGAAGAGCCCAGCGUCGACCUCUUUAGAGAAUAUUUUUAUUUGAACCGCCAGAAUGAGUUCACGAAUGGGCCCAUCUUGGAACUUGGCGGAAUCUCGAUUCAACGCAUAAGAGAUGCCAUCUUCCCUUAUGCCUGCCUGCCGAGUCACCCCAAGGAUUGGAACCAGACGUGGUUUUAUUGCAAAGAUACCUCUCCGGCUGACGAGAAUCCACUGCCGGGUUAUCGUGUCGAGCGCCUAGACCCAAAGCACAAUCUUCCUGGAAAA
Molecule: ribosomal RNA, 456 nt
Filed under: Triticum aestivum (bread wheat)
Lineage: Eukaryota; Viridiplantae; Streptophyta; Magnoliopsida; Poales; Poaceae
Description: partial small subunit ribosomal RNA
Source: RNAcentral